This is a long non-coding RNA of Mesocricetus auratus (golden hamster), 809 nucleotides long. RefSeq lists it as uncharacterized. The record is from RefSeq and is a predicted model, not a curated record. The transcript is spliced from 3 exons. Lineage: Eukaryota; Metazoa; Chordata; Mammalia; Rodentia; Cricetidae.
GUGAGCAGCUCCUCUCACCCUGCCAUGGCCUCUGCCUCAGCUCCAGGUUCCUGCCCUCUAUGAAUUCCUGUCCUGGCUUCCUUCAGUGACGGACAGUGAUGCGGAAGUGUGACUCGAGUGAGCCCUGUCCUCCCCAGGAUGACAGCAAUAGUAACUCUAAUUAGGAUACCCAGAUAAGACACCAAUGACUGACUAGAAAGGAACGGUUCUACCCAAGUCUGUCUUGAGGUCCAAAGUCACCCAAGGUGGAAACCAGCCAGAGAGCUGAUCAAGAGUUGGGAGAGCCAUGCAAAUGAGGCUGACCUGGGAGUCAGGACAGAAGUGAGAAACUGAAGCACCUGCCUGGAGACUGUGUCGAGAGAGAGGAGGCUUGCCAAAGCUGCUUCCAGCAAGGACCAGCCCCCUUGGAAAACCAUCAAGUGCCACCAGAAUGCCAGUUCCCUGUGCCCGCUGGCAGGAUGCUGUCCAGGCGGGAAGCUGGGACCCACAAGCCACUGAGUGUCUCCCAGAGACCCUGAACUCUGCUGUGGGUACUGAGAGAAGCAUCUCUGACAAGGACCAAGGCAACAGUCGCAUCUCUUCACAGACCAUCCCUUCAGAGCUGUGGCCAUCACACUUCAGAGAACGGAGGUCUGAUCUAAGGUGACAGGGGAAGGUCUUCAGGGAUAGAAGACAAGCUUACCAGAACAAAGUCGCCAUUGUCUUUCUUUUUUUAAUGGUUUAUUUUUAUUUUACAUGCACUGGUAUUUGCCUGCAUGUACAUCUGUGGGAGGGUGUUAAAUCCCCUGCAGCUGGAGUUACAGACAGAC